UAGCUUCGUUAGGUGAGGCUCCUAAAUGAACAUAAGCCACUGCCCAAAAAUGUCGAGAGACGCCAAUGGGUAGAACAGGUAUUACCGGAUUAAGGUUUUACAUAAUGUGGCUGAGCGUUUUUGUAUUUUGCUCUACGUUAUUUAGUGCUAAAACUCAACGAGUGGGG
This 167-nucleotide small RNA is filed under the name human gut metagenome. RNAcentral describes it as "M-box riboswitch (ykoK leader)". It matches the Rfam family "M-box riboswitch aptamer (ykoK leader)". From Rfam's summary of the family: M-box riboswitch, also know as ykoK leader is described as a metaloregulatory RNA that sense divalent metals and function as a genetic control element of genes related to divalent metal transport in bacteria. It was first reported upstream of the B.subtilis ykoK gene and genes with related functions in other bacteria. The record is from RNAcentral.